UUGACAGCAAUGUGCUUUAUUUAUUUAAUUUUUUUUAGGAGGUACCAGGGAGUAAACCUGGGAACUUGUACCUGUGAGGCAGGCACUCAACCAUCUGCUCCACAACAAUGCACUUUAGAAACCACUCAAAUUAUUGGUAUGAGUGCAACAUUAAACAAUGUUGAAGACCUACAAGAGUUCCUUCAAGCAGAAUAUUAUACCAGUCAGUUCAGACCAGUAUGUACCUAAGGUUUGCAGUAUAUUGAUUUGUUAGGUAUUUAUCUUUCUUAGAA
RNAcentral lists this long non-coding RNA (272 nucleotides) under Dasypus novemcinctus (nine-banded armadillo). RNAcentral describes it as "lncRNA (ENSDNOG00000051245.1)". The record is from RNAcentral. Lineage: Eukaryota; Metazoa; Chordata; Mammalia; Cingulata; Dasypodidae.